This 433-nucleotide ribosomal RNA is filed under the name uncultured bacterium. RNAcentral describes it as "partial 16S ribosomal RNA". It matches the Rfam family "Bacterial small subunit ribosomal RNA", at positions 29 to 507 of the family's 1533-position model. The record is from RNAcentral.
AACGAACGCUGGCGGCAUGCCUAACACAUGCAAGUCGAACGAGACCUUCGGGUCUAGUGGCGCACGGGUGCGUAACGCGUGGGAAUCUGCCCUUGGGUUCGGAAUAACAGUUGGAAACGACUGCUAAUACCGGAUGAUGACGUAAGUCCAAAGAUUUAUCGCCCAAGGAUGAGCCCGCGUAGGAUUAGCUAGUUGGUGAGGUAAAGGCUCACCAAGGCGACGAUCCUUAGCUGGUCCGAGAGGAUGAUCAGCCACACUGGGACUGAGACACGGCCCAGACUCCUACGGGAGGCAGCAGUGGGGAAUAUUGGACAAUGGGCGAAAGCCUGAUCCAGCAAUGCCGCGUGAGUGAUGAAGGCCUUAGGGUUGUAAAGCUCUUUUAACCGGGAUGAUAAUGACAGUACCGGGAGAAUAAGCGCCGGCUAACUCCGUG